GAUGAACGCUGACAGAAUGCUUAACACAUGCAAGUCAUUGGCGAAGCUGCGUUUGCGCAGUCUAGCCAAGGCGGACGGGUGAGUAACGCGUAAGGAACUUGCCCUGCAGACAGGGAUAACAGACGGAAACGACUGAUAACACCUGGUAUUGUCAGGCUGGCGCAUGCCGGCCUGAUGAAAGGAGACGCUGCAGGAGAGCCUUGCGUCCUAUUAGCUAGUUGGCGGGGUAACGGCCCACCAAGGCGAUGAUAGGUAGCCGGCCUGAGAGGGUGAACGGCCACAAGGGGACUGAGAUACGGCCCUUACUCCUACGGGAGGCAGCAGUGGGGAAUAUUGGACAAUGGGGGCAACCCUGAUCCAGCAAUUCUGUGUGCACGAAGAAGGUUUUCGGAUUGUAAAGUGCUUUCAGCAGGGAAGAAGAA
Molecule: ribosomal RNA, 422 nt
Filed under: Leptotrichia sp. oral taxon 213
Lineage: Bacteria; Fusobacteriati; Fusobacteriota; Fusobacteriia; Fusobacteriales; Leptotrichiaceae
Description: bacterial SSU rRNA
Rfam family: Bacterial small subunit ribosomal RNA
Source: RNAcentral